Molecule: transfer RNA, 64 nt
Filed under: Chlamydiales bacterium
Lineage: Bacteria; Pseudomonadati; Chlamydiota; Chlamydiia; Chlamydiales
Description: tRNA-Ser
Source: RNAcentral
GGGAAAAUACAGGAAAAAACUUGCAUGGGGUGCAAGGGGUCGGAGGUUCGAAUCCUCUCACCCA